This is a non-coding RNA of Paramisgurnus dabryanus, 753 nucleotides long. The record is from RefSeq and is a predicted model, not a curated record. NCBI's taxonomy places the organism in Eukaryota, Metazoa, Chordata, Actinopteri, Cypriniformes, Cobitidae.
ACACAGCUGUGGACAAUAUAAGCAGUCAGAGUAGCCCAUUUUCUCACACAGAUGAGGAGCAACCAGUAAGAAAAAGCAAAAAGAUGUUUUGAUGUUGCCUGAGGCACCUUAUUCACACCAGUCAAUUUCUUCCAAUAAUGAAUCAAGAAAUCCUGGAGUGGAGAAUCAUUCUGAAAGUAGACCAAAUACAGGACAACACCACAGCAGUGGUUGGAAAAAUGCAGCAGACAAUGAGCAAACCAAGCUGACUUUCAAAAGAUGAUUCGUUAUCUGUUUCUUCAAAGGGUAGGCAGUUUGGGAGAUGGGAAAUAGGAGGAUGCUACAGCUACACAGGGCGAAUUUCAGCAGCUCAGUUUCACACUUGCAACUAACAAUGAAUUAUAGUUAGAAGACAACGGAAAUAUUUGACAUGGGAGUCCAGCAGACAGCCAGAGACACGCACACACACGGAGCUGAAGCGCGUUUGACUGACGCGUACGGGAGAUCAGGCACGCGCACGGGAGCUCGCUCGCGCACGCACACACAAACACGGAGCACAGGAAAAUUACAACUGUUCAAUUAAAAUAAAAGAACUUUGUGGUAAACAAUGUUUAGCGUGUCUGAUUUCAUUGGUUGUAAUGAAAUAAAACGAUGUGCUGAGGACUUUAGGCGAACGUCCCCUAAAAGUCCCGAAAGUCCGCUGACCGUCCUGCAAACGUCCUUGUGAAAGUCCGGAGGACGUCUUCGCGGACGUCCGCUCGACGUAACAGGGGA